GACGAACGCUGGCGGCGUGCUUAACACAUGCAAGUCGAACGGAAAGGCCCUGCUUUUGUGGGGUGCUCGAGUGGCGAACGGGUGAGUAACACGUGAGUAACCUGCCCUUGACUUUGGGAUAACUUCAGGAAACUGGGGCUAAUACCGGAUAGGAGCUCCUGCUGCAUGGUGGGGGUUGGAAAGUUUCGGCGGUUGGGGAUGGACUCGCGGCUUAUCAGCUUGUUGGUGGGGUAGUGGCUUACCAAGGCUUUGACGGGUAGCCGGCCUGAGAGGGUGACCGGCCACAUUGGGACUGAGAUACGGCCCAGACUCCUACGGGAGGCAGCAGUGGGGAAUAUUGCACAAUGGGCGGAAGCCUGAUGCAGCAACGCCGCGUGCGGGAUGACGGCCUUCGGGUUGUAAACCGCUUUCGCCUGUGACGAAGCGUGAGUGACGGUAAUGGGUAAAGAAGCACCGGCUAACUACGUGCCAGCAGCCGCGGUGAUACGUAGGGUGCGAGCGUUGUCCGGAUUUAUUGGGCGUAAAGGGCUCGUAGGUGGUUGAUCGCGUCGGAAGUGUAAUCUUGGGGCUUAACCCUGAGCGUGCUUUCGAUACGGGUUGACUUGAGGAAGGUAGGGGAGAAUGGAAUUCCUGGUGGAGCGGUGGAAUGCGCAGAUAUCAGGAGGAACACCAGUGGCGAAGGCGGUUCUCUGGGCCUUUCCUGACGCUGAGGAGCGAAAGCGUGGGGAGCGAACAGGCUUAGAUACCCUGGUAGCCCACGCUGUAAACGGUGGGUACUAGGUGUGGGGUCCAUUCCACGGGUUCCGUGCCGUAGCUAACGCUUUAAGUACCCCGCCUGGGGAGUACGGCCGCAAGGCUAAAACUCAAAGGAAUUGACGGGGCCCCGCACAAGCGGCGGAGCAUGCGGAUUAAUUCGAUGCAACGCGUAGAACCUUACCUGGGUUUGACAUGGAUCGGGAGUGCUCAGAGAUGGGUGUGCCUCUUUUGGGGUCGGUUCACAGGUGGUGCAUGGCUGUCGUCAGCUCGUGUCGUGAGAUGUUGGGUUAAGUCCCGCAACGAGCGCAACCCUUGUUCACUGUUGCCAGCACGUUAUGGUGGGGACUCAGUGGAGACCGCCGGGGUCAACUCGGAGGAAGGUGGGGAUGACGUCAAGUCAUCAUGCCCCUUAUGUCCAGGGCUUCACGCAUGCUACAAUGGCUGGUACAGAGAGUGGCGAGCCUGUGAGGGUGAGCGAAUCUCGGAAAGCCGGUCUCAGUUCGGAUUGGGGUCUGCAACUCGACCUCAUGAAGUCGGAGUCGCUAGUAAUCGCAGAUCAGCAACGCUGCGGUGAAUACGUUCCCGGG
This 1343-nucleotide ribosomal RNA is filed under the name uncultured bacterium. Its description in RNAcentral is "16S ribosomal RNA". It matches the Rfam family "Bacterial small subunit ribosomal RNA", at positions 28 to 1378 of the family's 1533-position model. The record is from RNAcentral.